CCCUUAGAUGUUCUGGGCCGCACGCGCGCUACACUGUUCGACGCAGCGAGUCUUAACCUUGACCGAAAGGUUUGGGUAAUCUUCAGCAAAGUCGAACGUGAUGGGGAUCGAUCAUUGCAAUUAUUGAUCGUGAACGAGGAAUCCCUAGUAAGUGCAAGUCAUCAGCUUGCGCUGAUUACGUCCCUGCCCUUUGUACACACCGCCCGUCGCUACUACCGAUUGAAUGGUUUAGUGAGAUCUCUGGAUUGACGCUGGCUAGGGGGCGACCCUUGGCCAGGCUGUCGAGAAACUGCUCAAACUUGAUCAUUUAGAGGAAGUAAAAGUCGUAACA
RNAcentral lists this ribosomal RNA (331 nucleotides) under uncultured eukaryote. RNAcentral describes it as "partial 18S ribosomal RNA". It matches the Rfam family "Eukaryotic small subunit ribosomal RNA", at positions 1470 to 1796 of the family's 1831-position model. The record is from RNAcentral.